RNAcentral lists this long non-coding RNA (525 nucleotides) under Equus caballus (horse). RNAcentral's name for it is "lncRNA (ENSECAG00000048838.1)". Lineage: Eukaryota; Metazoa; Chordata; Mammalia; Perissodactyla; Equidae. The record is from RNAcentral.
GUCCCGUGGCCGAGUGGUUGGGUUCUCCGGCUUUGGCAGCCCAGGGUUUCGCAGGUUUGGAUCCUGGGUGCAGACAUGGUGCCGCUCAUUGGGCCAUAUUGGGGUAGCGUCCAACGUGCCACAACUAGAAGGACCCAAAACUAAAAUAUACAACUAAAGAGUAUUCCAGGGGCCGGCCCCGUGGUGCAGCAGUUAAGUGCACUUGUUCUGCUUCUCCGUGGCCUGGGGUUCACCAGUUUGGAUCCCAGGAAGAUUAGCCCUCAGCUAACAUCUGCUGCCAAGCUUCCUCCUUUUGCUGAGGAAGACUGGCCCUGAGCUAACAUCCGUGCCCAUCUUCCUCUACUUUGUAUGUGGGAUGGCUGCUACAGCAUGGCUUGCCAGGCAAUGCCAUGUCCUCGCCUGGGAUCUGAACCAGCGAACCCCGGGCCACCAAAGCAGAACAAAUGCACUUAACUGCUACACCACCGGGCCAGCUCUCAUUGUAAUUUUUAAAUUUUUGUUUCUUUUGCAAUGGGCAUAAAAAAA